This 640-nucleotide ribosomal RNA is filed under the name Cellulomonas sp. I12A-02681. RNAcentral's name for it is "bacterial SSU rRNA". It matches the Rfam family "Bacterial small subunit ribosomal RNA", at positions 89 to 743 of the family's 1533-position model. Lineage: Bacteria; Bacillati; Actinomycetota; Actinomycetes; Micrococcales; Cellulomonadaceae. The record is from RNAcentral.
UGAUCAGUGGCGAACGGGUGAGUAACACGUGAGUAACCUGCCCCUGACUCUGGGAUAACUGCUGGAAACGGUGGCUAAUACCGGAUAUGAGAUCCUUGCGCAUGUGGGGGUCUGGAAAGAUUUUUUGGUCAGGGAUGGGCUCGCGGCCUAUCAGCUUGUUGGUGGGGUGAUGGCUCACCAAGGCGACGACGGGUAGCCGGCCUGAGAGGGCGACCGGCCACACUGGGACUGAGACACGGCCCAGACUCCUACGGGAGGCAGCAGUGGGGAAUAUUGCACAAUGGGCGCAAGCCUGAUGCAGCGACGCCGCGUGAGGGAUGAAGGCCUUCGGGUUGUAAACCUCUUUCAGCAGGGAAGAAGCGCAAGUGACGGUACCUGCAGAAGAAGCGCCGGCUAACUACGUGCCAGCAGCCGCGGUAAUACGUAGGGCGCAAGCGUUGUCCGGAAUUAUUGGGCGUAAAGAGCUCGUAGGCGGUUUGUCGCGUCUGCUGUGAAAACCUAAGGCUCAACCUUGGGCUUGCAGUGGGUACGGGCAGACUAGAGUGCGGUAGGGGUGACUGGAAUUCCUGGUGUAGCGGUGGAAUGCGCAGAUAUCAGGAGGAACACCGAUGGCGAAGGCAGGUCACUGGGCCGCAACUGA